RNAcentral lists this ribosomal RNA (475 nucleotides) under uncultured organism. RNAcentral describes it as "partial 16S ribosomal RNA". It matches the Rfam family "Bacterial small subunit ribosomal RNA", at positions 334 to 800 of the family's 1533-position model. The record is from RNAcentral.
CACUCCUACGGGAGGCAGCAGUGGGGAAUUUUGGACAAUGGGCGAAAGCCUGAUCCAGCAAUGCCGCGUGUGUGAAGAAGGCCUUCGGGUUGUAAAGCACUUUUGUCCGGAAAGAAAUCCUUGGCUCUAAUACAGUCGGGGGAUGACGGUACCGGAAGAAUAAGCACCGGCUAACUACGUGCCAGCAGCCGCGGUAAUACGUAGGGUGCGAGCGUUAAUCGGAAUUACUGGGCGUAAAGCGUGCGCAGGCGGUUUGCUAAGACCGAUGUGAAAUCCCCGGGCUCAACCUGGGAACUGCAUUGGUGACUGGCAGGCUAGAGUAUGGCAGAGGGGGGUAGAAUUCCACGUGUAGCAGUGAAAUGCGUAGAGAUGUGGAGGAAUACCGAUGGCGAAGGCAGCCCCCUGGGCCAAUACUGACGCUCAUGCACAAAAGCGUGGGGAGCAAACAGGAUUAGAAACCCGGGUAGUCCCAUGA